This 75-nucleotide transfer RNA is filed under the name Phytohabitans rumicis. RNAcentral describes it as "tRNA-Tyr". The record is from RNAcentral. Lineage: Bacteria; Bacillati; Actinomycetota; Actinomycetes; Micromonosporales; Micromonosporaceae.
GCAGGCGCUCACGUGGCGCGAGGCGCUGGCUGUAAACCGGUAGCCCUGUGGGUUCAACUCCUGCCGCCUGCACCA